CCCGCCCAGGUGGUAUCUACACCAUGAAGAUAAGCUGAGGCAGGAUGUGGAAGCCCCUUCUUCCUGUCGCUUUAUUCUGCACUGAGAACUGUUUUAAACUUCCCUGUUGCCGUUUUGCUCCUUCCAUCCUUUAUUCCAUAGCAGUCCACGUCCACGUGGAGUGCUACAUCUGGCUCCAGGGGUAAGCUGAACAGAAAGGCUCUGGGCCCACCCUCCACAGUGGUUCUGGAUGGAGUUCAAAGACUAGCACCAGUGACAUUACCUUGGAACCAGGUUUUUGGUCCUGAUGAGAAAGCAUAAAGCACCAUAAGAGGAAGUUGAAGGGGGUAGUAAAAGUGUUGGUGACUGCUAACCCUGAGUCAUGGGAGCCCUAAUUGUCUCCACUCUAGUGCCUGUUAAACAUUUUCAUAACAAAAUUAUUUUAACGUCUUUAAA
Mesocricetus auratus (golden hamster) is the source of this 435-nucleotide long non-coding RNA. RefSeq lists it as uncharacterized. The record is from RefSeq and is a predicted model, not a curated record. The transcript has 2 exons. NCBI's taxonomy places the organism in Eukaryota, Metazoa, Chordata, Mammalia, Rodentia, Cricetidae.